CGGCCUCCUCGCUUCUUAAAAUGUCUGAGCUCUACGAAGUGGAACUGUUAGCCCUCCGUUUAUUGCCUUACUUCACACUGAAAUAAGCCAACGUUUAUUUUAUUUUAUUUAUUUUAUUAUUUAUUUUAUUAUUUUUUUUCGAGACGGAGUCUCGCUCUGUCCCAGGCUGGAGUGCCGUGGCGGGAUCUCGACUCACUGCAACCUCCGCCUCCGUGUUCAAGCUAUUCUACCUCAGCCUCCCGAGUAGCUGGGAUUACAGGUGCCCGCCACCACGCCCGGCUAAUUUUUGUAUUUUUAGUAGAGAUGGGGUUUCACCAUGUUGGCCAGGCUGAUCUCGAACUGCUGACCUUGUGAUCCUCCCGCCUCAGCCUCCCAAAGUGUUGGGAUUACAGGCGUGAGCCACCGCGCCCGGCCCCCAACGUUUCUUUUUAAGCCUGUCAUAUCUCACAUUAAAUGUGUAAGUCUCUGAACUGUAGGGCUUUGAACAAAGGAAAGUUCCAUGAGAAUACUAUAUGAUGCCAAUUUCUACUGUUAGGAACGCGAUAACAGAGUGCAGUGGGGGAGAAAAUACCGUCCUCAAGAUCUGAGAAACUGGAGAGGAAAAGUCACAGGACAACCAACUUCUCUAUGACAUAGCCCAGCAUCUGAGGAAAGUCCUGCAAUAGUGGAGGUGGAGCAGAGGGUAUGAGCUGGGAAGCAAAUGGAGCAGGAGCUGGAGGCUGCCCCAUCCACUCCAAGCCAGAGAACAAGCAGAGGCUGCCACAGGAGAUCCUGGGCAAGUAAUCAGCCACAGCAUCUAGAUUAGCAUGAAGGAAACACUGGCCAAAUUAAAAGAUGAAACUUCCAAAAGGUAAAUCUCUGUGUAUUCAUGCCUAAUCUUCCAAGGU
This 887-nucleotide long non-coding RNA is filed under the name Homo sapiens (human). Its description in RNAcentral is "non-protein coding lnc-AARS-1:2". Lineage: Eukaryota; Metazoa; Chordata; Mammalia; Primates; Hominidae. The record is from RNAcentral.